AAAAUUCAGUUUUUAGCAGGUGUGCUUCCUGACCAAAGAAGUCAGAUGAGUGCAUGAGCAGCCCCUUCGAGGACAAGGCUUGGAUUCCCAGGAGCAGACAAGGAACUCUGUGGGCAUACUCCAAGGAAACUGGGGAGAAAAUGGACCAGUCUCACCAAUGAAAAAGAAAUUUUUCUUCAUUUCUUGAAGUCACUUUUUAUGAUACAUUAUUAUAUGAUAUACUAUCUCACAGUUAUUAAGGGUGCUGGCCGGUAUAAACUGGAAAUGUAUGGUUGGACAACUAGGUGCCCAUGACCAACUCCUCAUUGUGGAUGAAUUUACUCUGGUUGGACUUUCUCAGGAAAGGGCAGCAGAACUCAUGACUACAACCAGUUCCAUGGUUACACUGGAAGUUGCAAAUCAAGGCAUCCUCUCUCACUGCCUGUCCACCUGUCUUACCCAGCCAUUGUCCUCCAUGGUGCAGAGAGCUCUUACCCCAUCCAAGGAAGAGCUUCAGGAAGUUUAACCUACUUGAGCUCCACUGAGUAGAGGCUGGCAAGGGUCUCUAGUGUGACAGUGAUAUGUGGAUCCAGAGGUCCUCAGUGGAAUCUAGCACAUGCAGCCAGGAGCACCUGAACUCUUCCUCCAAGUCAGUUGCCCCUGCUUCCACUCUGACCAAGAGUGGUCCUGGCCAUUGGGAAACCCCAGCAGAGGUGCUGCCCACCCCUGUGACUGUCUCCCAGCCCAUAUGAACAGACCUCCCUCCACCACCUCCUCUACCACAGGUCCACUACACCAGAUAU
Molecule: long non-coding RNA, 782 nt
Filed under: Rattus norvegicus (Norway rat)
Lineage: Eukaryota; Metazoa; Chordata; Mammalia; Rodentia; Muridae
Description: long non-coding RNA NONRATT000227
Source: RNAcentral